Small nuclear RNA from Bison bison bison, 138 nucleotides. Its record names the gene U2. It matches the Rfam family "U2 spliceosomal RNA". From Rfam's summary of the family: U2 is a small nuclear RNA (snRNA) component of the spliceosome (involved in pre-mRNA splicing). Complementary binding between U2 snRNA (in an area lying towards the 5' end but 3' to hairpin I) and the branchpoint sequence (BPS) of the intron results the bulging out of an unpaired adenosine, on the BPS, which initiates a nucleophilic attack at the intronic 5' splice site, thus starting the first of two transesterification reactions that mediate splicing. The record is from Ensembl. NCBI's taxonomy places the organism in Eukaryota, Metazoa, Chordata, Mammalia, Artiodactyla, Bovidae.
AUUGCUUCUUAGCCUUUUGGCCAAGAUCAAAUGCAAUAUCUGUUCUUAAUCAGCUUAAAAUUAUCUCUCCUUCCCUGGUGGCUCAGACAGUAAAGAAUCUGCCUGGAAGGCAGGAGACCCAGGUUUGAUCCCUGGGUU